RNAcentral lists this ribosomal RNA (408 nucleotides) under uncultured bacterium. RNAcentral describes it as "bacterial SSU rRNA". It matches the Rfam family "Bacterial small subunit ribosomal RNA", at positions 355 to 776 of the family's 1533-position model. The record is from RNAcentral.
CUGGGAAUUUUGCGCAAUGGGCGAAAGCCUGACGCAGCAACGCCGCGUGGGGGAUGAAGGCCUUCGGGUUGUAAACCCCUUUUGGUUGGGACGAAAAAAAUGACGGUACCGACAGAAAAAGCACCGGCUAACUCUGUGCCAGCAGCCGCGGUAAUACAGAGGGUGCUAGCGUUAUUCGGAAUCACUGGGCGUAAAGGGCGCGUAGGCGGUUUAGUAAGUCGGAUGUGAAAUCCCUCGACUCAAUCGAGGAAGUGCAUUGGAAACUACUAGACUAGAGUGCAGGAGGGGAGAGCGGAAUUCCUGGUGUAGAGGUGAAAUUCGUAGAUAUCAGGAGGAACAACGGUGGCGAAGGCGGCUCUCUAGACUGCAACUGACGCUGAUUGUGCGAAAGCGUGGGGAGCAAACAGG